RNAcentral lists this small RNA (284 nucleotides) under Streptomyces sp. TSRI0281. RNAcentral describes it as "5' ureB small RNA". It matches the Rfam family "5' ureB small RNA". Lineage: Bacteria; Bacillati; Actinomycetota; Actinomycetes; Kitasatosporales; Streptomycetaceae. The record is from Rfam by way of RNAcentral.
CGAUGACGGUCGGUGAGAUGAAGUGGACGUGCGCGUCGACGGCGCCCGCGGUGAGGAACUUGCCGUUGCCCGCGAUGAUCUCGGUCUCGGGCCCGAUGAUCAGGUCGGGGUGGAUCCCGUCCAUGGUUUCCGGGUUCCCGGCCUUGCCGAUGCCGGUGAUCCGGCCGUCCCGGAUGCCUAUGUCGGCCUUGACGAUGCCCCAGUGGUCGAUGAUGACGGCGCCCGUGAUGACGGUGUCGGGGGCGCCUUCGGCGCGGGUGGUGCGCGCCUGGCCCAUCGAUUCG